RNAcentral lists this ribosomal RNA (776 nucleotides) under Ignatzschineria indica. RNAcentral describes it as "bacterial LSU rRNA". It matches the Rfam family "Bacterial large subunit ribosomal RNA", at positions 1147 to 1906 of the family's 2925-position model. The record is from RNAcentral. Lineage: Bacteria; Pseudomonadati; Pseudomonadota; Gammaproteobacteria; Cardiobacteriales; Ignatzschineriaceae.
AGUCGAGUCGGCCUGCGCGGAAGAUUUAGCGGGGCUCAAGCGAUAUACCGAAGCUGCGGAUGUAUAUUUUAAAAUAUAUGUGGUAGGGGAGCGUUCUGUAAGCCUGUGAAGAUGGACUCGUAAGAGCUGUUGGAGGUAUCAGAAGUGCGAAUGCUGACAUAAGUAACGUUAAUGCGUGUGAAAGACACGCACGCCGAAAGACCAAGGUUUCCUGUUCAACGUUAAUCGGAGCAGGGUGAGUCGGCCCCUAAGACGAGGCAGAGAUGCGUAGUCGAUGGGAAUCAGGUUAAUAUUCCUGAACUCUCGUAUCAUGCGAUGGAGGGACGGAGAAAGCUAGACCAGCUGGUGAUUGGUAUACCAGUGUAAGCAGGUAGGCAGAGAUCUUAGGCAAAUCCGGGAUCUCAAUGCUGAGAUGUGAAUGCGAGGAGGUUACGACCUCCGGAGUGGUUGAUGCUAUGCUUCCAAGAAAAGCUUCUAAGCUAUAGUGAUAUGAGAACCGUACCCCAAACCGACACUGGUGGUUGGGAUGAGAAUUCUAAAGGCGCUUGAGAGAACUCGGGUGAAGGAACUCGGCAAAAUCGUACCGUAACUUCGGGAGAAGGUACACCUUCCUUGGUGAAUGCUUUACGCAGUAAGCUGAGGAGGGUCGCAGUGAAAAGCUGGCUGCAACUGUUUAUCAAAAACACAGGACUCUGCAAACACGAAAGUGGACGUAUAGGGUCUGACGCCUGCCCGGUGCUGGAAGGUUAAUUGAUGGGGUUAGCGUAAGCGAAGCU